RNAcentral lists this ribosomal RNA (300 nucleotides) under uncultured Ferroglobus sp. Its description in RNAcentral is "bacterial SSU rRNA". It matches the Rfam family "Bacterial small subunit ribosomal RNA", at positions 497 to 795 of the family's 1533-position model. Lineage: Archaea; Methanobacteriati; Methanobacteriota; Archaeoglobi; Archaeoglobales; Archaeoglobaceae. The record is from RNAcentral.
CCAACUCCCGGGCGCGGGCCGGGUUAGAUACGGAGGUUGCAAUCGUGAAUCGGAAGUACUGGGCGUAAAGCGUGCGCAUGCGUCUUAUUAAGUGUGAUGUGAAAUCCCUAGGCUCAACCUAUGCACUGCAUUUGAAAUUAAUAAACUAGAGGUUAGUAGAGGGAGGUAGAAUUCCAGGUGGAGCGGUGAAAUGCGUAGAUAUCUGGAGGAAUACCAGUGGCGAAGGCGACCUCCUGGACGAAAACUGACGCUCAAGCACGAAAGCAUGGGGAGCAAACAGGAUUAGAUACCCUAGUAGUC